UUUGUAUUUACUCUCUCCGGUCCAGUCCAAUGUUUCACUGUUCGUCUUAUUUUAAAAUUUAUAAAAAAUUAAAAAAAAGUCACACAUACAGUAAUAUUUAUGUUUUAUCAUUUAAUAACAAAAAAUACUAAUCAAAAAGAAUUUCAAAUAAAACGGUCAGUUAAAUGUUGGAUACAGAAAUUCACAACUGUACUUAAA
Oryza glumipatula is the source of this 198-nucleotide non-coding RNA. The record is from Rfam. NCBI's taxonomy places the organism in Eukaryota, Viridiplantae, Streptophyta, Magnoliopsida, Poales, Poaceae.